Molecule: non-coding RNA, 648 nt
Filed under: Clostridium colicanis DSM 13634
Lineage: Bacteria; Bacillati; Bacillota; Clostridia; Eubacteriales; Clostridiaceae
Description: Bacterial small subunit ribosomal RNA
Rfam family: Bacterial small subunit ribosomal RNA
Source: Rfam by way of RNAcentral
UAAGUAUUCCGCCUGGGGAGUACGGUCGCAAGAUUAAAACUCAAAGGAAUUGACGGGGACCCGCACAAGCAGCGGAGCAUGUGGUUUAAUUCGAAGCAACGCGAAGAACCUUACCUAGACUUGACAUCUCCUGAAUUACUCGUAAUGGAGGAAGCCCUUCGGGGCAGGAAGACAGGUGGUGCAUGGUUGUCGUCAGCUCGUGUCGUGAGAUGUUGGGUUAAGUCCCGCAACGAGCGCAACCCUUAUCGUUAGUUGCUACCAUUAAGUUGAGCACUCUAACGAGACUGCCGCGGUUAACGUGGAGGAAGGUGGGGAUGACGUCAAAUCAUCAUGCCCCUUAUGUCUAGGGCUACACACGUGCUACAAUGGCCGGUACAACGAGAUGCAAACCCGUGAGGGGGAGCCAAACUUCAAAGCCGGUCCCAGUUCGGAUUGUAGGCUGAAACUCGCCUACAUGAAGUCGGAGUUGCUAGUAAUCGCGAAUCAGCAUGUCGCGGUGAAUACGUUCCCGGGUCUUGUACACACCGCCCGUCACACAUGAGAGCCGGUAACACCCGAAGUCCGUGAGGUAACCUUUAUGGAGCCAGCGGCCGAAGGUGGGAUUGGUGAUUGGGGUGAAGUCGUACAAAGGUAGCCGUAGGAGAACCU